UAAGACAGAGGUCUCGAGCGUUAGGCGGAAUCACUGGGCUUAAAGCGUGUGUAGGCGGAUCGUUAAGUGCCUUGUGAAAUCCCACGGCUUAACCGUGGAACUGCUUGGCAUACUGGCGGUCUUGAGCAACCUAGGGGCAAGUGGAACAAAUGGUGGAGCGGUGAAAUGCGUAGAUAUCAUUUGGAACGCCAAUGGUGAAAACAGCUUGCUGGGGGUUUGCUGACGCUGAGACACGAAAGCCAGGGGAGCGAACGGGAUUAGAUACCCCGGUAGUCCUGGCCGUAAACGAUGUCGACUAGAUCGCAGUAGCUCUGACGUUAUUGCGGUCGAAGCAAAAGUGCUAAGUCGACCGCCUGGGAAGUACGGUCGCAAGGCUA
RNAcentral lists this ribosomal RNA (377 nucleotides) under uncultured bacterium. RNAcentral's name for it is "bacterial SSU rRNA". It matches the Rfam family "Bacterial small subunit ribosomal RNA", at positions 521 to 896 of the family's 1533-position model. The record is from RNAcentral.